GAAAACCGUAUGUAGCGUAACGUAGCAUACCAGGUGGCGAAAGACGAAAAGGCCCAUCCCCAUUUCCCAUUAUUAGCUUUUUGGCGGCCCCGCUUUCCUAAUAUAAUCACUUCCGUCAUUGACGUUUUCGAGUCUAAACAGAGCAGAGAGCCAGAGAGUGAGCUUCGCAGAUCGUUGAAAGAUCGAAAGAACUCGACAAUGUCUACCCUUAUAGUUCCUCAACCACCUCCACCCGUGGCCGAUGACUGUGAGCAGCUUAGAAAGGCCUUUUCAGGAUGGGGGACAAACGAGGGCUUGAUCAUAUCCAUAUUGGGUCACAGAAAUGCUGCUCAACGCAAGCUGAUCAGGGAGACUUAUGCUGAGACCUACGGAGAAGAUCUCCUCAAGGCAUUGGACAAGGAACUUUCAAAUGAUUUUGAGAGAGUGGUGCUGCUCUGGACGCUUGGUCCUGCUGAACGCGAUGCAUUUUUAGCUAAUGAGGCAACUAAGAGAUGGACAUCAAGCAAUCAGGUUCUUAUGGAAAUCGCCUGCACAAGGUCUUCAAAUGAAUUGCUUCAGGCAAGACAGGCGUAUCAUGCUCGCUUUAAGAAGUCCCUUGAAGAGGAUGUUGCACAUCACACAACUGGGGACUUCCGCAAGCUUUUGUUUCCUCUUGUGUGCUCAUACCGAUACGAGGGGGAUGAGGUGAGCAUGACCCUCGCAAAAACAGAGGCUAAGUUGCUCCACGAGAAGAUUUCCAAGAAGGCUUAUGGUGAUGAGGAUUUCAUCAGGGUUUUGGCUACCAGGAGCAAAGCACAGAUUAAUGCUACUCUGAACCAAUACAAAAAUGAGUUUGGCAAUGAUCUCAACAAGGUAUGGAAGAAGUAAGCUUUACAAUUUGCCUAUCCCAUAAGAUGACUUUAUAGGUAUUUUCAUAUCAUCACUACCCUAUCCACUCCAUUUUCAUUGGUAACAGGGAAUUUCAACUUAUUGGCAGCCCCAUUCUUGCUAUUGCACAUUUUUUUUAUUUGAUUAAUUGAUUUGUUUGAAUUGGCCCUUGUGUUUGAAGGACUUGAAGACUGACCCCAAGGAUGAAUUCCUCGCACUAUUGAGGGCCACAGUGAAGUGCUUGACACGCCCAGAGAAAUACUUUGAGAAGGUUCUUCGUCUCUCUAUCAACAGACGAGGAACAGAUGAAGGAGCUCUGACUAGAGUUGUCACUACAAGGGCAGAGGUUGACUUGAAGAUUAUAAAAGAUGAGUAUCAGCAAAGGAACAGUGUUCCUUUGGACCGUGCCAUAGUCAAGGACACCCAUGGGGAUUAUGAAAAGAUGCUCCUGGCACUGAUCGGGCAUAAGGAGGAUUGAGCUGUGAAUCUGUUUCGAGGGGCACUAUAUCAUGAAGGUUGUGGUGGUUGCGGUUUCACCUUGCUGGAUGUGGUUUCAAGACAGAAUAAAUCCUUGUAAUUUGAUGUGUUUUAUUUUCAGUCGGAUGGCUAUGUGAAGCUGGUCUAUGAAAACUUCACCUAUCGUCACAUCAAUAAAAUUAUAUAACUAUGUUUGCCCUGUUUAAAGAAUUUCCAGGUUGCUGCUGCAUCAAUUGGAAGGGGUUAAAAGCUGUAGCCUUUGCAUCAUUUGAAAAGUUCAUAUAAUGCAAACAUUGAAAGUAGAAUCCAAAAUCAAGGUAUCUAGCCACAUACAUGCUGAGGGUUAGGCAAUGCCUGAAUAUGUUUUUGUAGCCUUUACCUCUAGAAUAGGAUAAUGUUAUCCUGGAAAACAUCUCCAUUCCUAUUGAUUUCCA
Molecule: unclassified non-coding RNA, 1778 nt
Filed under: Hevea brasiliensis (rubber tree)
Lineage: Eukaryota; Viridiplantae; Streptophyta; Magnoliopsida; Malpighiales; Euphorbiaceae
Source: RNAcentral